GACGAACGCUGGCGGCGUGCUUAACACAUGCAAGUCGAACGGAAAGGCCCUGCUUUUGUGGGGUGCUCGAGUGGCGAACGGGUGAGUAACACGUGAGUAACCUGCCCUUGACUUUGGGAUAACUUCAGGAAACUGGGGCUAAUACCGGAUAGGAGCUCCUGCUGCAUGGUGGGGGUUGGAAAGUUUCGGCGGUUGGGGAUGGACUCGCGGCUUAUCAGCUUGUUGGUGGGGUAGUGGCUUACCAAGGCAUUGACGGGUAGCCGGCCUGAGAGGGUGACCGGCCACAUUGGGACUGAGAUACGGCCCAGACUCCUACGGGAGGCAGCAGUGGGGAAUAUUGCACAAUGGGCGGAAGCCUGAUGCAGCAACGCCGCGUGCGGGAUGACGGCCUCCGGGUUGUAAACCGCUUUCGCCUGUGACGAAGCGUGAGUGACGGUAAUGGGUAAAGAAGCACCGGCUAACUACGUG
This 468-nucleotide ribosomal RNA is filed under the name uncultured bacterium. RNAcentral's name for it is "partial 16S ribosomal RNA". It matches the Rfam family "Bacterial small subunit ribosomal RNA", at positions 28 to 507 of the family's 1533-position model. The record is from RNAcentral.